This 64-nucleotide transfer RNA is filed under the name Rhabdoblatta orlovi. RNAcentral describes it as "tRNA-Gly". The record is from RNAcentral. Lineage: Eukaryota; Metazoa; Arthropoda; Insecta; Blattodea; Blaberidae.
ACUUAUCUAAUAUAAUAGUAUGUUUGACUUCCAAUCAAAAAGUUUGAUUUAAUCAAGAUGAGUA